RNAcentral lists this ribosomal RNA (484 nucleotides) under uncultured bacterium. RNAcentral's name for it is "partial 16S ribosomal RNA". It matches the Rfam family "Bacterial small subunit ribosomal RNA", at positions 30 to 507 of the family's 1533-position model. The record is from RNAcentral.
AUUGAACGCUGGCGGCAGGCCUAACACAUGCAAGUCGAGCGGAUGAAGGGAGCUUGCUCCUGGAUUCAGCGGCGGACGGGUGAGUAAUGCCUAGGAAUCUGCCUGGUAGUGGGGGAUAACGUCCGGAAACGGGCGCUAAUACCGCAUACGUCCUGAGGGAGAAAGUGGGGGAUCUUCGGACCUCACGCUAUCAGAUGAGCCUAGGUCGGAUUAGCUAGUUGGUGGGGUAAAGGCCUACCAAGGCGACGAUCCGUAACUGGUCUGAGAGGAUGAUCAGUCACACUGGAACUGAGACACGGUCCAGACUCCUAAGGGAGGCAGCAGUGGGGAAUAUUGGACAAAGGGCGAAAGCCUGAUCCAGCCAUGCCGCGUGUGUGAAGAAGGUCUUCGGAUUGUAAAGCACUUUAAGUUGGGGGGAAGGGCAGUAAGUUAAUACCUUGCUGUUUUGACGUUACCAACAGAAUAAGCACCGGCUAACUUCGUG